CACGGAGCUUGCUCUGUGGGAUCAGUGGCGAACGGGUGAGUAACACGUGAGCAACCUGCCCCUGACUCUGGGAUAAGCGCUGGAAACGGCGUCUAAUACUGGAUAUGUGACGUGAUCGCAUGGUCUGCGUCUGGAAAGAAUUUCGGUUGGGGAUGGGCUCGCGGCCUAUCAGCUUGUUGGUGAGGUAAUGGCUCACCAAGGCGUCGACGGGUAGCCGGCCUGAGAGGGUGACCGGCCACACUGGGACUGAGACACGGCCCAGACUCCUACGGGAGGCAGCAGUGGGGAAUAUUGCACAAUGGGCGCAAGCCUGAUGCAGCAACGCCGCGUGAGGGAUGACGGCCUUCGGGUUGUAAACCUCUUUUAGCAGGGAAGAAGCGAAAGUGACGGUACCUGCAGAAAAAGCGCCGGCUAACUACGUGCCAGCAGCCGCGGUAAUACGUAGGGCGCAAGCGUUAUCCGGAAUUAUUGGGCGUAAAGAGCUCGUAGGCGGUUUGUCGCGUCUGCUGUGAAAUCCGGAGGCUCAACCUCCGGCCUGCAGUGGGUACGGGCAGACUAGAGUGCGGUAGGGGAGAUUGGAAUUCCUGGUGUAGCGGUGGAAUGCGCAGAUAUCAGGAGGAACACCGAUGGCGAAGGCAGA
Molecule: ribosomal RNA, 640 nt
Filed under: Microbacterium sp.
Lineage: Bacteria; Bacillati; Actinomycetota; Actinomycetes; Micrococcales; Microbacteriaceae
Description: bacterial SSU rRNA
Rfam family: Bacterial small subunit ribosomal RNA
Source: RNAcentral